RNAcentral lists this small RNA (220 nucleotides) under Listeria monocytogenes FSL J2-071. RNAcentral's name for it is "Listeria sRNA rliE". It matches the Rfam family "Listeria sRNA rliE". Lineage: Bacteria; Bacillati; Bacillota; Bacilli; Caryophanales; Listeriaceae. The record is from Rfam by way of RNAcentral.
UGAAUAAAAGACAUAAAUAUUACACUAUAAAUUAUUAAUAAAAAGUAAAUCAUCUGUCACCUCCUAGUUGUAAAAAUAGAAUAGCAGAGUUAAAUUAUUUUUGCACAUAGCUAAAAUCGUUUUUUCACACUCUAGACAUAGCAAAAACCCUAUUUUCCAUCUAAGAAAAUAGGGUUUUUUAUAUAUUUUAGCCUCUGAAAAUCCUUUUUUAGCUAUUUGU